UACGGAGGGUGCGAGCGUUAAUCGGAAUUACUGGGCGUAAAGGGUGCGUAGGUUGUUGAUUAAGUUAUCUGUGAAAUUCCUGGGCUCAACCUGGGGUGGUCAGAUGAUACUGGUUGACUGGAGUAUGGGAGAGGGCAGUGGAAUUUCCGGUGUAGCGGUGAAAUGCGUAGAGAUCGGAAGGAACACCGGUGGCGAAGGCGGCUGCCUGGCCUGAUACUGACACUGAGGCACGAAAGCGUGGGGAGCAAAC
This 250-nucleotide ribosomal RNA is filed under the name uncultured bacterium. RNAcentral's name for it is "partial 16S ribosomal RNA". It matches the Rfam family "Bacterial small subunit ribosomal RNA", at positions 524 to 773 of the family's 1533-position model. The record is from RNAcentral.